RNAcentral lists this small nucleolar RNA (80 nucleotides) under Nelumbo nucifera (sacred lotus). RNAcentral's name for it is "Small nucleolar RNA R160". It matches the Rfam family "Small nucleolar RNA R160". From Rfam's summary of the family: snoR160 is a C/D box small nucleolar RNA, which acts as a methylation guide for 25S ribosomal RNA in plants. snoR160 has been alternatively named snoZ270 in rice. Lineage: Eukaryota; Viridiplantae; Streptophyta; Magnoliopsida; Proteales; Nelumbonaceae. The record is from Rfam by way of RNAcentral.
UGCAAAAUGAUGAUAUAAUAUAUCUGAACCAUAAGCUGAAGCAUUCAAAAAAUAAGUGCCUUUAAAGUUCUCUGAUUGCC